RNAcentral lists this small nuclear RNA (22 nucleotides) under Arabidopsis thaliana (thale cress). RNAcentral's name for it is "snRNA_15293". Lineage: Eukaryota; Viridiplantae; Streptophyta; Magnoliopsida; Brassicales; Brassicaceae. The record is from RNAcentral.
GCGAAGCACUCGAAGAUCGUCU